Sorex araneus (European shrew) is the source of this 103-nucleotide small nucleolar RNA. NCBI's taxonomy places the organism in Eukaryota, Metazoa, Chordata, Mammalia, Eulipotyphla, Soricidae. The record is from Ensembl.
AUCCUUUUCCAGUUCUUAACCAUGAUGACUGGGUGUUUACACACUUGUAUAAAUGUGCCUCCCUUAAAUCUUGUUACACACUUGACACAUUACCCAUCUGUCA